RNAcentral lists this transfer RNA (71 nucleotides) under Loxodonta africana (African savanna elephant). It matches the Rfam family "tRNA". From Rfam's summary of the family: Transfer RNA (tRNA) molecules are approximately 80 nucleotides in length. The record is from Rfam by way of RNAcentral. Lineage: Eukaryota; Metazoa; Chordata; Mammalia; Proboscidea; Elephantidae.
GCAGUGGUGAUUUGGCAGUAGAAUCCUUGCCUUCCAUUCAGGAGACCUGGGUUCGAUUCCCGGCCAAGGCA